AAACUAGCACCUCAAGUGGUCAGGAUGAUUAUUGGGCCUAAAGCAUCCGUAGCCUGCUUUGUAAGUUUUCGGUUAAAUCUGUACGCUUAACGUACAGGCUGCCGGGAAUACUGCAAAGCUAGGGAGUGGGAGAGGUAGACGGUACUCGGGAGGAAGGGGUAAAAUCCUUUGAUCUCUCGAUGACCACCUGUGGCGAAGGCGGUCUACCAGAACACGUCCGACGGUGAGGGAUGAAAGCUGGGGGAGCAAACCGGAUUAGAAACCCCGGUAGUCC
RNAcentral lists this ribosomal RNA (274 nucleotides) under uncultured bacterium. RNAcentral describes it as "partial 16S ribosomal RNA". It matches the Rfam family "Archaeal small subunit ribosomal RNA", at positions 473 to 747 of the family's 1478-position model. The record is from RNAcentral.